GACGAACGCUGGCGGCGUGCUUAACACAUGCAAGUCGAGCGGUAAGGCCCUUCGGGGUACACGAGCGGCGAACGGGUGAGUAACACGUGGGUGAUCUGCCUCGCACUUCGGGAUAAGCCUGGGAAACUGGGUCUAAUACCGGAUAUGACCUUUCAGUGCAUGCUGUUUGGUGGAAAGAUUUAUCGGUGCGAGAUGGGCCCGCGGCCUAUCAGCUUGUUGGCGGGGUAACGGCCCACCAAGGCGACGACGGGUAGCCGACCUGAGAGGGUGACCGGCCACACUGGGACUGAGACACGGCCCAGACUCCUACGGGAGGCAGCAGUGGGGAAUAUUGCACAAUGGGCGAAAGCCUGAUGCAGCGACGCCGCGUGAGGGAUGACGGCCUUCGGGUUGUAAACCUCUUUCGACAGGGACGAAGCGAGAGUGACGGUACCUGUAGAAGAAGCACCGGCCAACUACGUG
RNAcentral lists this ribosomal RNA (462 nucleotides) under Nocardia brasiliensis. RNAcentral describes it as "bacterial SSU rRNA". It matches the Rfam family "Bacterial small subunit ribosomal RNA", at positions 28 to 507 of the family's 1533-position model. Lineage: Bacteria; Bacillati; Actinomycetota; Actinomycetes; Mycobacteriales; Nocardiaceae. The record is from RNAcentral.